Molecule: long non-coding RNA, 1098 nt
Organism: Orcinus orca (killer whale)
Lineage: Eukaryota; Metazoa; Chordata; Mammalia; Artiodactyla; Delphinidae
Exons: 4
Source: RefSeq, a predicted model, not a curated record
UAAUAUCUGUAAUAGCCUCUCCGAUGGCUUGCUUCUCCAUUUCUGAUAAUAUGCCUUUAAAAACAAUGUCCUUUAGGGUUCAGUGGACCAUGAAAUAGUCUCUGCUGAAGUAACCCUGGUGCCAGCACUGAGACAAACAUUCAUUUUGGCUGUCAGCUAAAAGAACUUGGAAGAAAUGAAGCACAUUUAUUAUGUACUGAUAUAUUCUGACUAGAUAAUCCUUUUUAGUUGGAGGCACUAUAAAAGCAAGUGCAGAUUACUGUUGGCAAAAUAGUAAAAAAUAAAAUUCAGUUGAGCUGCAAAAGUUUUGCCUCCAAUUUCACAGGUGAUCACCUCUCUAGCAUCAAGACAGUGACAGGGAGACCUGAUUUGCAGCCUGAUUUGCUGCAAUCCAAGUCCACUCUCAGGAGACAUAAGGAAAGUGAAUCUCCACCUUUUCCCAGAUGCUAAAGAAUAAAUGUAAGAAUGAGGAAGAGAAUAGCACUGCCUCUUUCAUCAAAUCACAGAAAGUACCUCCCAACCCAGGUGAUGGGUAAGAAUACAUCACAACUAAGUGAAAAAUCACUUUCCCCAGGAAGUUUAUAAAAUGAUCAAUGGUAAUCAAAACUUUGAAGAGACAAAGGACUUGCUGCUUGUCAGUCACUUUGCAUCAAAUAUUAUUCAUGACAUGUCUCGUGCCAGUCUUAUUCUUGCUACUGUGGAGGUAAAGUUAUAAUUAUUAAAAAUUUCAGCAUUUUAAAUUAUUUUUUGUGAAACAUUAUGAGUAUAUAUCUACGUAUAUGUAUAUUUAAAAUAAUUUUCUGCCAAACAUUAGUAGACUAUCUAAAUGUAAAGAUAAGUAGGUAUAUUUUCAGCUCUUAGUUAUAGCCCUAAAUUCUGUUUUCUCUUGUUGAUUCUCUUUUAAUAGGGAUGCUUGAACAUAUGGCUUUGGGCUCUAUAUCUCUAAACUUUUCUAUUACAUCUUAUAUCUCUUUUACUUAUUGUUGAACCUUCAGGAGAAUUUUACAUUUUAAAUUGAAGGUCACUUACAUGUGCAUUAUCUUUUCUAGACAUUCUAUUGAAGUAGAAUAGAAAUUGUGUUUUAACAUAAUUAUUUCU